Aethina tumida (small hive beetle) is the source of this 3484-nucleotide RNA transcript. It is a transcript of the gene named kinesin-like protein Klp68D, with no coding region annotated. The transcript has 11 exons. The record is from RefSeq and is a predicted model, not a curated record. NCBI's taxonomy places the organism in Eukaryota, Metazoa, Arthropoda, Insecta, Coleoptera, Nitidulidae.
CUAUUUUGAAAUAUCGCGAGCUGCUAAACAAAUCAAUAAAAUGAAAAUGUUCUACAACAGUUAAUGUUUGUGUUGAUGGGUAUAAAUAAGAAUUUAACGUUGUAACUAACCUCACAUGUGUAAAUAAGGCUUUCGUAAAUAACGAUGAGCGCAACCCACAAGGAAAAUAUAACAGAAAGAAACGCAAGUAACGAGGCAGUUCAAGUAAUAGUAAGAUGUAGGCCUUUAAGUGAUAAAGAAAUUGAAUCUCAGUGCACAAGUGUUGUUAAAAUCUAUUCCAGUAGGGGUGUAAUAGAAGUUGAAAAUCCCAAAGCGAAGAGUGAAAAUGAGAAGAACAAAAUAUUCACUUAUGAUGCAGUCUAUGAUGAAAAUUCCACCCAACAAAAUAUUUACGACGAAACUGUUCGGCCCCUCGUUUCGUCGGUUUUGGAGGGUUACAAUGGUUGCGUCUUCGCGUACGGACAAACCGGAACUGGAAAAACCUACACAAUGGAAGGUGGCCCCGACUCCAAUAUGGGAAUCAUACCCAGAGCCUUCGAGCAAAUCUGGAAUCACAUCAACCGGACCACCGGCGUUGAAUUCUUGGUCAGUGUUCGAUAUUUGGAGAUAUAUCUAGAGGAGAUCAGAGAUUUAUUGAAAAUCAAGAGUACUAAACCGCACGAGCUGCGUGAGACAUCCGGUCAGGGCGUUACUGUCACCAAUCUGCAUUCACAAACGUGUCAGAGUGUCGAAGAUAUGGUAAAAGCAAUGGUUACCGGCAACAACAACCGUACUACUGGUGCCACCAACAUGAACGAGCACAGCUCUAGAUCUCACGCUAUAUUUCAAAUAGUCAUCGAGAUGGCUGAAUCCGACUCCAAAUCUGUUAAGAUGGGAAAACUGAAUUUGGUCGAUUUGGCGGGCAGCGAAAGACAGAGUAAGACUGGCGCAACGGGCGACAGGUUAAAGGAGGCGACGAAGAUUAAUAAGGCUCUGUCUUCCUUGGGAAAUGUGAUUUACGCGCUUGCUGAGAAUUCGGCACACAUACCUUAUCGGGACUCGAAAUUAACGAGGCUUCUCCAAGACUCGCUUGGAGGAAACAGCAAAACCAUAAUGAUUGCUAAUGUGGGCCCAGCCAGCAUGAAUUAUGAUGAAACUAUCAUCACUCUUAGGUACGCUUACCGAGCCAAGUCUAUUAAGAACAAGCCGAUUAAGAACGAGGAUAUCAAAGACGCGAAACUUUUGGCACUACAGCAAGAAAUCGAGCGCUUGAAGCAAUUAAUAAUGGAAAAAUCGAACGGUGAAGUUAUUAACAAUGAACUGGAUGAAGAUGAUCAGUGUGGCGACAGCGAGGACGACAGUAAAAAGGAGGAGAAAGAGAAACAGCUGGAAGUCGGAAAAAUGGAAGUGGACGAGUUGUCUAGAAAAUUAAAGACUCUCGAAAAGCAAAUGGUACAUGGUGGAAAGAACAUUGUGGACAGUGUCAACGAGAAUGAAGUGCGUUUGGAACAACAGAGGGCUGAGAUUGCUGCCAGAAAGAAAAGGGAAAUCGAAAUGCAACAAAAGAUCGAAUUAGAAGAAGAAACAUGUAGUGAGCUGAAACAGGUGUUCGCAAGUCUUCAGCAACAAGUCGAUUUUAAGAGAGAAAAGUUGAAAAGAUUGAAUAAUAAAUUACAAUCCGUUAGGCAGGAAAUUAAAGAUAACCACGACGUUUAUAUGAGCGAUCGGCAAGAAAUAGAGGAGGCUAAUGAUGAGGCAGCUAUGCAUUUAAGGCAAUGGUUCUUGGUUAUAGAUAAUUUUGUACCCACUGAGGAAAGAUCUCGAUUGAUUAGUUUAGCCCAGUUUGACGAUAAUAAGGACAAUUGGGUACUGAAAAAAGAAAAAGUAAUUGUUGACCCAAUGCAAAGACCUUUUGCUCACAAUUACAGAAGGCCCAUUUCAGAUUAUGCUGUAAAUAUGAGCCAAAACUCUCCUAAAUACAGAGGAGAAAAUGUAUUGGACUUAAAAUUAGAUUUGCCUUUGAAGACCACACAGGAUUUUGUGCCUCCCACAAUUUGUCCACAAAUUAAAGCUAUUGUGGCUGAUGCAAUUAAAGAUGAAAUGCUGAAUAGCCAUACUACAGUUAAAAUGCCAGUACACUCAGUUGGUAGAAAUUCGUCCAAAUUGGAGCAAGAGGGAAAAUACAAACAAGCAACAAAAACUGUCAUUGACAUGCACAACUAUCGUAUUAUUAUUAAUUAAUGCAGGACCCAGCAGAAAAGUAGUGAAGAAAGCAGUUAAUUCAAAAUAAUAUUUUUAGAAGAAUUUGUUUGUUAUAUACGACAUUUUAUAAAUAUAAUUGUUGAGAACUGUUUAUGUUAGAAGCACUUAAUUCUUAUGUAAACGAUCAAUUUGAUAAAUUAUUAAGAACUAUGAGAAUUACAUAAAAGCCCAAAGUGAGUGUGGUUUAUACAAAUGAUAUUGGUAUAACUUAUUUCUUGUAAAGAGCGUUACACUUUCCUUUUACCAAAUUGUCACAAAUAAUAACGCAAAGUCUUACGCGAAAUACGGUUAAUCUUAACGACAUUUUAUUGGGCUCAUUUGUCUGUAAGAGAUGAUAAUUAACAUGGUUCUAGUGAAGAUGGAGUCUGGUUAGAAGUUCUAUGCAUACUUUAAGAACUAAUUUUCUGAAGACAAUAUCUAAAAAUGGACUGAAAUAAAAAUGCAUAACGUAAAUUAAAAAUUCUAUACGGGCCGAUAAAGGUCCAUUCUGGAUUGCUAGAAUAUGUAGAAAAUAUAUAUUUUAAAAUAAAGUGAAGUGAUAUGGUAUGUUAAAGAUGUAUAAAGUACAUAUGUAUCAUAUUUGUAAAAUCUGAAUCGCCAUGCACCAAAGUCCGCAAAAGCAUUUUAAGUUCGCUUUUUAGUGCAAUACCUGAUACUGAAUAUUAUUUGAUGUAUAUUUAUAUAUGAAGGAUAUUAUUUUCUAUUUUAUAUUUAUUAUGUAUUUAUAUAAUUUAUUACAUUUAUAGCAUAUUAAUUUGUUGAAUGUUUGUUUAUGUAAUAUGGUGAUACACCCACAAUUGCUUCAAAGCUAUUUAUUGUGGCUUUUUUGAAGCUUCUAAAUUAUUGUUGGUGUACAAGAUAUAUUAUUUUGAUUAUGUAUACUUUCUAAAUAUAUCUAUAUUUUCUGCUAUUUAUAUAAACUAUUUAAAGAAGCUAUAUCCAUUUACUAUUAAUUAAGAGAUUAGUAUAAAGCAGCACAUUUCUUGUAAUUAAAAAUAAUUUCAAUUGAAAGUAUACAUUCAAAAUAUUAUGAGCUUUUGCCUGUUUAUGAGUAUUUAAUAUCUAGUCUAAUAUUGUUUCUGUGAUUAUAGCACUUUGUAGAAAAUUGAAGCCAUAAUUAUAUUGGAAAUUCAGUUUGGCAAUAUUUUUAUAGAAAUUUUCUUUGAUUUUUUUAUAUUAUUACAUCAAUUUCCAAUAUAAUUUCUUGUAAGAUUAUUAAAUAAAUUUAAAAUUAACAAUUUUA